GAUUUAUGACGUCGUUGCCUUUUUAUCUAACGUUUGACCAUUCGUCUUAUUCAAAAAAUUUAUAUAAUUAUCAUUUAUUUUAUUGUGACUUGAUUCAUCAUCAAAUGUUCUUUAAGUAUGACAUAAAUAUUUUCAUAUUUACACAAAAGAUUUGAAUAAAACGAAUGGUCAAACGUUGAUUAAAAAGUCAACGGUGUCAUACAUU
This 205-nucleotide microRNA precursor is filed under the name Oryza glumipatula. RNAcentral describes it as "MIR812 microRNA precursor family". It matches the Rfam family "MIR812 microRNA precursor family". The record is from Rfam by way of RNAcentral. Lineage: Eukaryota; Viridiplantae; Streptophyta; Magnoliopsida; Poales; Poaceae.